This 391-nucleotide ribosomal RNA is filed under the name uncultured Rhodocyclaceae bacterium. RNAcentral describes it as "bacterial SSU rRNA". It matches the Rfam family "Bacterial small subunit ribosomal RNA", at positions 986 to 1382 of the family's 1533-position model. Lineage: Bacteria; Pseudomonadati; Pseudomonadota; Betaproteobacteria; Rhodocyclales; Rhodocyclaceae. The record is from RNAcentral.
AUGUCUGGAACCUUGGUGAGAGCCGAGGUGCUCGGAGCCAGAACACAGGUGCUGCAUGGCUGUCGUCAGCUCGUGUCGUGAGAUGUUGGGUUAAGUCCCGCAACGAGCGCAACCCUUGUCAUUAGUUGCCAUCAUUUGGUUGGGCACUCUAAUGAGACUGCCGGUGACAAACCGGAGGAAGGUGGGGAUGACGUCAAGUCCUCAUGGCCCUUAUGGGUAGGGCUUCACACGUCAUACAAUGGUCGGUACAGAGGGUUGCCAACCCGCGAGGGGGAGCUAAUCCCACAAAGCCGAUCGUAGUCCGGAUCGCAGUCUGCAACUCGACUGCGUGAAGUCGGAAUCGCUAGUAAUCGUGGAUCAGCAUGUCACGGUGAAUACGUUCCCGGGUCUU